Molecule: ribosomal RNA, 218 nt
Filed under: uncultured bacterium
Lineage: Bacteria
Description: partial 16S ribosomal RNA
Rfam family: Bacterial small subunit ribosomal RNA
Source: RNAcentral
ACGCUCGACACCUACGGAGGCAGCAGUGAGGAAUAUUGGUCAAUGGGCGCUAGCCUGAACCAGCCAAGUAGCGUGAAGGAUGAAGGCUCUAUGGGUCGUAAACUUCUUUUAUAUAAGAAUAAAGUGCAGUAUGUAUACUGUUUUGUAUGUAUUAUAUGAAUAAGGAUCGGCUAACUCCGUGCCAGCAGACUGCGGUAAUCUGAGCGGGCUGGCAAGGC